AAUCUCUAUCGUUUGCACCCUAAUCUAUUUGAUCCCGAUCUAAAUCAAAUCUUAAGGGUGUUUAAGGCUAACAGACGCUAACGUGGCAACAGUCAACCAGGAUUAUGACUAAUGAGGCUAUCGUUGACGGAAUACUUAUGUUUCAGUGGUUGUGGGGAAUGAUUCGAGAGAGUGGGGAACGAACCUAGGGUUCGCCCGCGGCGGAGGAAGGAGUGGUUGACGACGGCAGUGGCUGUCAGAACCCAAUGGCGUGCGAACCUGCAAAGAUGUGCCACUGCAGUCCUCCGAGAAAGGCGUCAAGAUGAUCUCCUCGAGCCCUCACAACCGUGGUAGGAGGUACUAUGCAUGCGUGGAUGCUAUGCAUGGUGGUUGUGGAUUUGUUGAGUGGCAUGAUGAUGCUUUGCCGCAAUACUACAGUCAAUUGAUUGGGAAUUUGUGUGAUGAAGUGUGCAAGCUUAAAGGCUCUCAAAUUGUUAAGUUAUUGCUUGGUUAAUGUGUAAUGGAUCAGCUAAGUAAUGUUAUCUACGAAAUGAUUUUUUCUUAACCCAGUGCUUGCUAUCAGAUAUGCUCACAGAUUUGUUUA
Molecule: long non-coding RNA, 583 nt
Organism: Hordeum vulgare subsp. vulgare (domesticated barley)
Lineage: Eukaryota; Viridiplantae; Streptophyta; Magnoliopsida; Poales; Poaceae
Exons: 2
Source: RefSeq, a predicted model, not a curated record